GCUCACUGCAUGUCACUUCCUUCAUGACAGAUGGGGACAGUCAACAAUUGACUGUACCACAAAAUGGGCUGAUCCGGUCCAUUCCAUCUGUUCUUUCUGGUGGAGGGAUUCAUAAGCAGGAGAAUGACCAAGAGCCUAGAGGAAGAAGAAAUAAACUCCACAUCACAUAAUGAGUACCCAAGGAACCAAGAAUCGACAUCAAUGAAGUAACCACCAUGGUGAACUGUCACAGUCAAUUAGGGCUCUGAGCCAAUAGUAAUAAAGUAUUUAAGUGAAUGUAUUAGACCUAAAGA
This 293-nucleotide long non-coding RNA is filed under the name Phascolarctos cinereus (koala). RNAcentral's name for it is "lncRNA (ENSPCIG00000032308.1)". Lineage: Eukaryota; Metazoa; Chordata; Mammalia; Diprotodontia; Phascolarctidae. The record is from RNAcentral.